Wyeomyia smithii (pitcher-plant mosquito) is the source of this 2088-nucleotide RNA transcript. It is a transcript of the gene named BAG family molecular chaperone regulator 2, with no coding region annotated. The transcript has 6 exons. The record is from RefSeq and is a predicted model, not a curated record. Lineage: Eukaryota; Metazoa; Arthropoda; Insecta; Diptera; Culicidae.
CGAUGCUACAUACCUUGCUACCAAUAUUCAUUAAUUUAAGAAACAAUUUCCAACUUAAAACACCUGAAUUUGCGGUCUUUAAUUGCCUAGUUAGUGAGAAUAUAUCAACAGACACGAAAACGUUAUUCGCUGUUGCAUAGUGAUGCUCGUCUCCAACCCUUCAAUGUGAAAAAACGCUUCCUCACCCCGCGUCUAGCUUUUGGUCAAACCGUUACACCAUGUUCUACUCAUCAUGAUUCUUGUUAUUUGUCUGAUACAAAUUUUUCAUUGUAUUCAUUUUGGCUCGCACGUUUGACAGUUAUUUUGGCUCGCUGCGAUUCAGUCCGCAGGUCUAUAUAUAGUGUCUAUAGAAUGGCACCGUGUCAUCAAAAGUGACGCUGGUAACACUGAACAUCCUUUCUCUUUUCCCCACACGAGUGUAAUAUAGGCUGUUAGGUUGACGCUAGCAUAUAGUUUUCAUGCCAAUUUUGACAGUGUCGCCACUCUAUAUGUAUUUACAGGCACUCUAGUAAAGUUGAUUUUACCGAUUUUACCUCAUCCGCUAUGCAACAAAUUGUAACGCACCUUUCUCCAAGCAGCGUUACAAAGUUUAUGGAUGGCCCGUAAUCUCACUUUUCAGGGAAAUCGUCGCACACAGCGAUGUUUACAUUCUCGAUAAUCGAUUUAGAAUCGUGAUCGUCCAAUACUCUUUGACAUUCGUUUCGGGAUUUCGAAAAUUUGGUGUGGAAAAGAUGGACCACCUGAGCCUGCAAUCGUCCAAAACCUUAGUUGAACUGGAAAACGAAUUGGUCAAUGGCAUUUCCGAUUUUGAAUUAAGCAUUCGGGAUGCUGUCACUGGCGAAAGCUCUACCUUUGAAGCGUUGAACGAGUGCAACGAAACAACAGUUGGUGCUGAGUUGGACGCUCAUUUAGAUUUCCUCAGACAUAAUAUGUCUCAAGAAUCUGGGAGUGUGGAGGAUUGCAUUGAAUUUGACCCAGUUACUGAGAAGCUAAAAGAGAAACGCAAAACAGUGAAAUGGAACCUGGAGCAGAUAUCAAAAGAAUUUCAUGAGAACUUCGACGAAUCGUUAAUGUGUCGAUGGAAUGAUAUAAAUCAUAUUCGAGAUGAGAUCGGUGAAUUGAGACGCCAGAGCAUGGAGUUAUUAGCUGAAAAAACAGAAGCCCUUCGCGCGAUUGGACAAGCUAGGAGAAGUAUUCUGGUUAAGCAAUCGAGCUUGGAAAUGAUUCGUGAAGGAUUUAGAACUAAAUUAGCUGAAACGAAUGCAACUAACGCAGAUAUUAGAUCCCAAAAAGCGCAAUUAGAGGAUGAAAUAGACGCACUGAAUGAGCAACAGAACAAAAGAAGAAAAGAAAAAGCUAGUGGCCGCAAGAAAAAUCAAUUUUUGCUGAAAAAGUUGACCAAAUAGUCUGCCAGUGAAAAACUCAUUUCCAAUCGCCAAUAUCAUUACAAUAAUCGUAUUGAUUUGUAUAUACAGUAACUGUAUCACAUUGGUUGAAACAAAAAUACAUUACAUUUGUAUGACGUUCUUCCCUUAACAAAACUAAUUUUGGAUGUUAUUUUUCCCAAAAACUCGAUUGAUUGAUAUACCGUUAGCUUGUUUUUGACAGCGAGUGACUCGUGAGAAACGACACAUACACACUGAAACAAAGCAAUUAUAACAAUACAAAAUACAAUACUUCUUUUGAUUGCCGCCGAAUGGGGAUCGAAGACUAUUCGAAGGUUUGGCAGAUCGCAAACGCAAUAUAAACAGUGAACGAGUUACCAAAGAAACCGCAGUCAUCAAACGCUGUCGCUAGAAUAAACAAAGCCUAACAAAAAUCCUGCAAUUGUGUGCGAUUUUUAGUCAUCGUCAAAAAGCUUGACUGCUUGGAUUGGUUGUACGUUAAUUGUGAAACAAAAACUUUAUUCAGUUUUCAUCGUUUGCAAAUGAGCUUGCCAGUGGUCUCGAAACUGGAACAAACCCUUGAAAGUAUGGAAGUGGAUACGGCUAUGGUGGGUCCGGGCGAGUGUGAUGUACAAGACUGGUCUUUGGUGCCUAAAGUCGACGAAUCUAACACAGCUUGGCUCAGUAAACCACCAAUGGAAAG